GAUGAACGCUGGCGGCGUGCCUAAUACAUGCAAGUCGAGCGAACAGACGAGGAGCUUGCUCCUCUGACGUUAGCGGCGGACGGGUGAGUAACACGUGGAUAACCUACCUAUAAGACUGGGAUAACUUCGGGAAACCGGAGCUAAUACCGGAUAAUAUAUUGAACCGCAUGGUUCAAUAGUGAAAGACGGUUUUGCUGUCACUUAUAGAUGGAUCCGCGCCGCUUUAGCUAGUUGGUAAGGUAACGGCUUACCAAGGCGACGAUGCGUAGCCGACCUGAGAGGGUGAUCGGCCACACUGGAACUGAGACACGGUCCAGACUCCUACGGGAGGCAGCAGUAGGGAAUCUUCCGCAAUGGGCGAAAGCUUGACGGAGCAACGCCGCGUGAGUGAUGAAGGUCUUCGGAUCGUAAAACUCUGUUAUUAGGGAAGAACAAAUGUGUAAGUAACUAUGCACGUCUUGACGGUACCUAAUCAGAAAGCCACGGCUAACUACGUG
RNAcentral lists this ribosomal RNA (497 nucleotides) under uncultured bacterium. Its description in RNAcentral is "partial 16S ribosomal RNA". It matches the Rfam family "Bacterial small subunit ribosomal RNA", at positions 28 to 507 of the family's 1533-position model. The record is from RNAcentral.